RNAcentral lists this ribosomal RNA (313 nucleotides) under uncultured Pseudomonas sp. RNAcentral's name for it is "bacterial SSU rRNA". It matches the Rfam family "Bacterial small subunit ribosomal RNA", at positions 1070 to 1382 of the family's 1533-position model. Lineage: Bacteria; Pseudomonadati; Pseudomonadota; Gammaproteobacteria; Pseudomonadales; Pseudomonadaceae. The record is from RNAcentral.
GAGUGUUGGGUUAAGUCCCGUAACGAGCGCAACCCUUGUCCUUAGUUACCAGCACGUUAUGGUGGGCACUCUAAGGAGACUGCCGGUGACAAACCGGAGGAAGGUGGGGAUGACGUCAAGUCAUCAUGGCCCUUACGGCCUGGGCUACACACGUGCUACAAUGGUCGGUACAAAGGGUUGCCAAGCCGCGAGGUGGAGCUAAUCCCAUAAAACCGAUCGUAGUCCGGAUCGCAGUCUGCAACUCGACUGCGUGAAGUCGGAAUCGCUAGUAAUCGUGAAUCAGAAUGUCACGGUGAAUACGUUCCCGGGCCUU